Molecule: long non-coding RNA, 1060 nt
Filed under: Numida meleagris (helmeted guineafowl)
Lineage: Eukaryota; Metazoa; Chordata; Aves; Galliformes; Numididae
Description: lncRNA (ENSNMEG00000013864.1)
Source: RNAcentral
AUGGUGGUGUCCUCUCAAAGCAAGUCAAACACUUCAAAAUAACUUAUCUUAUCCAAGCAAGAGUUUGCAUGAAUGUUUGAUACUAGCUUUGUGUUCACAUUAGCACUACUGCUGCAAUGAGGGAAGUCGCAGAGGCAUCCUUGGAGCAGUGCUCUCACUGUGUUAUGCAUCUCUGGUGUUCGGUGUCUGUGAAUGGAAGGAAACCACAAGGAGAAGCACUACAACCUCAGACUGCACACAGCUGCACAUGGCUUCACCCUUCGGGCCUGCUUGUUUCAGUUUGUAUCCUAUCUCAAACAAAAGGCUUUGCCUGAAUCCGUCAUGAAGUCACCAACUAGGACUGCAAGAGGAUUUUGUUGAACCUAAACUUCUCAGUGGUAGAAAAAGCUCCUGCCCAUUGGCUCACAGAAGCACAAAAGCAGAGCAGUUUUAUUGUCUUAUCUCCUCAGCAGGCAGACAUUCUUUCUCCUACAGAUCACCAUUAUGGUAACAAAACCUUAUCUGCAUGACUAACACCAUAAUGUCUUAAUCCACUUAAUGGUAUAGAUGCAUUUCAUAUCAGACCAUUGGGAUUCAAUUUCCUAACCUUUAAAGCAAGUAGUGGUCUCACAGUGCUCUCUUCCAAACUUUUCUCUUUCCAUAUUGGUCUCUUGCCUACUUGCUUGUUGAGAGUUGUGGCUUUUGUGACAGAUGAACCCUGCCAAACCUGCUAGGAGGAAGUCCUGCCCAUCUCAUACUUCCACUGGUUUUAGUAAGAGUUUGGCAGAAUUCUAUCCUGCUCCUGAUAUCAAAUCUAGCUGUAUGAGAACAGAGACAAAAACUGAAUGCCACCUUCUCAGUGAAUAGAAUACAGCGCAGCUCCACUGAUUUGUACCAGAUGACCAGAUACUGCAUACUUUUCAGACCCAAAGUUUUCACCUAGUGAAAGGUUUUUGGAAAAAUGACUAGGAGCUGAAAACCAUAUUCAUAGAGAAUGCAGUUUUUAUUUUAACUAAUCUCAUUAAUACAAAGACUAGUUUGAAGAAAUAAAGUUCUCUUCCCCAUUUAUUUCUAAAUCUUC